GAUUAAAUGGACUUACUUUGGCGGUGGAACUGGGGUUAAAACUAAUCUUAAAUAAUCUUGAAUAAACAACAGCGUGCCGAUAGCAAUUGAAAAAUUCGGAAACGAUUUAUUAAUAUUGAAGUAUUGACGGAAUGACACAGAGAAUCGACAACUAUUGGCGAUAAAUUAUUUAUAAGAGCGUUAAACUACAUGCAGUGAGUUAACAUUUCGAAUUUGGAUUAGUCAACCAUAGAUAUCUCAUUCGAAACAAGGACCAAACAUGUCGAAGGCAAAUUCUCGAAAUAUUCCAAUGAACCAUUUGAGAUCCAGGAAAGAAAUAUUGCCUAAAAUUGUACAGCUGGGACAUUCACUUCCUGCGCGAUUUCCGGACGAACUUGACAUCUGGACACCAGUCGAAGUAGUCGACAAUGACAGAAAUAUAAAGACUGCGCGAACACUACCAUCCCGUACCCGAGAAGCAUCGUCUAAAUGUAGGAAGUAUCGAAAUUUAUUUGAAUAUAGUCAACAUAACGAGGAUACAUUUGAAUUAACACGCGGGUUGUGGAAAAUGCCGAGCAUAGGUAAUAACUUUCUACCGUUCCGGAAAUGUAACUCACGAAAGACGUCUGAUGCUCAAGAAGAUAUAGCUCUGUACAGACCCAAAUUUCACCGCUGUAUAAGCAGACUGGUACACGAACACACUGUGAUUUUACCACCCAUCGAAACGUCAGAACGCGUCAAAAGUAACGUGUUUGAUCCUUCAAAUCUGCACGAGAAAAUAUACGUGUUUCGGCGCUACAAAGGGACUGGACAACGAGAACGCUUCGUGCGAGAUGAAAUGCACGUUCCCGACAUAUAUCCACAGUGUUUCACGUGCCGAGAAUGUCAGAAACAAUACACGUCCGAAGUGUACUCACAGUCAUUAACAAAACGGAAAAGUAAGUCUCCCGCAUGCUUGUCAAUAUUGGCUUCAUAUUUAGAAAGCAAUAAAACGGUCCCCACUAGUAAGUCGGGUAAACGACGGACGCUGCAACGUCAGCAUUGUGACGUUCUCGGUGAACGAUACUGCAAGUCGUGUAAGGAGCUACGCAACAAGGGAAUCUCUCGACAGAUUGAAAACUCACUUAUUAACAAUAAUAAGCUCGCGAAUGUACAUUACACGCAGCGUUAUUAAGGGCACUUAGCAUCACAUCCUCCUCCUUAUCAUCAUCAUCAUCAGCAGCAGCAGCAGCAGCCGUGUUUUGGUUAUAUAAGUGUUAUAUAUAUUUUUAAGUCUUGUUGUACGCGAUAAGGGACGAAAGGCAAAAUUAGGCAUUGUUUUGCUAAACAAGUUACCUAUAUAUUUUUUCUAUUUACACGAACUAUGAACUAUUCUUUUACAAAAAGUAUUUUAGUGAAUUAAUAUAUGGUAACCAUUUUCGAGUUUUUCAUGCAAAACACAUUGUCUGCUUUGUUCGUGUGCCAUAUCUGUUUGUUAGGUUAAGUUUUCGCAUGUUGAGAAAUGUUGUGUAUUUUUGUGGCUAAAUCAAAUUUCUGACUUCA
This is a long non-coding RNA of Dreissena polymorpha, 1521 nucleotides long. RefSeq lists it as uncharacterized. The record is from RefSeq and is a predicted model, not a curated record. The transcript has 2 exons. NCBI's taxonomy places the organism in Eukaryota, Metazoa, Mollusca, Bivalvia, Myida, Dreissenidae.